AGUGAACGCUGGCGGUAGGCCUAACACAUGCAAGUCGAACGGCAGCACAGUAAGAGCUUGCUCUUACGGGUGGCGAGUGGCGUACGGGUGAGGAAUACAUCGGAAUCUACUUUUUCGUGGGGGAUAACGUAGGGAAACUUACGCUAAUACCGCAUACGACCUACGGGUGAAAGCAGGGGAUCUUCGGACCUUGCGCGAUUGAAUGAGCCGAUGUCGGAUUAGCUAGUUGGCGGGGUAAAGGCCCACCAAGGCGACGAUCCGUAGCUGGUCUGAGAGGAUGGUAGGCCACACUGGAACUGAGACACGGUCCAGACGCCUACGGGAGGCAGCAGUGGGGAAUAGUGGACAAUGGGCGCAAGCCUGAUCCAGCCAUACCGCGUGGGUGAAGAAGGCCUUCGGGUUGUAAAGCCCUUUUGUUGGGAAAGAAAAGCAGCAGGUUAAUACCCCGCUGUUCUGACGGUACCCAAAGAAUAAGCACCGGCUAACUUCGUG
Molecule: ribosomal RNA, 492 nt
Filed under: uncultured bacterium
Lineage: Bacteria
Description: partial 16S ribosomal RNA
Rfam family: Bacterial small subunit ribosomal RNA
Source: RNAcentral